CUCCAAGGAACAUUCAACGCUGUCGGUGAGUUUGGGAUUUGAAAAAACCACCGACCGUUGACUGUACCUUGGGC
Molecule: non-coding RNA, 74 nt
Organism: Myotis lucifugus (little brown bat)
Lineage: Eukaryota; Metazoa; Chordata; Mammalia; Chiroptera; Vespertilionidae
Source: Rfam